RNAcentral lists this ribosomal RNA (464 nucleotides) under uncultured bacterium. RNAcentral's name for it is "bacterial SSU rRNA". It matches the Rfam family "Bacterial small subunit ribosomal RNA", at positions 28 to 526 of the family's 1533-position model. The record is from RNAcentral.
GACGAACGUUGGCGGCGUGGAUUAGGCAUGCAAGUCGGGGGAAUCCCGCAAGGGGGAACCGGCGUAAGGGGCAGUAAGGCAUGGGUAACCUACCUUUGGGUUCGGGAUAGCCAUCAGAGAUGGUGGGUAAUACCGGAUGACGUCGUGAGACCAAAGAUUUAUCGCCCUCAGAGGGGCCCAUGUGAUAUUAGCUAGUUGGUAAGGUAACGGCUUACCAAGGCGAAGAUGUCUAGCGGGUGUGAGAGCACGACCCGCGCCACUCGCACUGAGACACUGGCGAGACACCUACGGGUGGCUGCAGUCGAGGAUCUUCGGCAAUGGGCGCAAGCCUGACCGAGCGACGCCGCGUGCGCGAUGAAGGCCUUCGGGUUGUAAAGCGCUUUAGUGGGGGAGAAAAGCCGCAAGGUGUGAUCUAUCCCAAAAAUAAGCACGGGCUAAGUUCGUGCCAGCAGCCGCGGUAAUAC